This 293-nucleotide ribosomal RNA is filed under the name uncultured bacterium. Its description in RNAcentral is "partial 16S ribosomal RNA". The record is from RNAcentral.
GGACUACACGGGUUUCUAAUCCUGUUCGCUCCCCACGCUUUCGCUCCUCAGUGUCAGUAUCGGCCCAGAGUGCCGCCUUCGCUACGGGUGUUCCUCCUGAUCUCUGCGCAUUUCACCGCUCCACCAGGAAUUCCACACUCCUCUACCGAACUCUAGUCACGGCAGUAUCGAAUGACCCCUCCAGGUUGAGCCUGGAGAUUUCACAUCCGACUUACCGAACCACCUACGAGCUCUUUACGCCCAAUAAAUCCGGACAACGCUAGCCCCCUACGUAUUACCGCGGCUGCUGGCAC